AAUUUUAAAGAAAAAUUAUCAUGUACAAUCACUUAAAUAUGGUUGUUAUAUUAGCAAAUUAAAGAAAGAGACUAAGCGUCAAUAGUUUUAAAUAUAGAGGACUAAAAUUGUGGGGGGAAUAGGGGGACAAAAUUAUGAAUUUAAUAAAAUAAGCGGACCAAACUACAUUUUAGUCUACCUUUUUAAUUGUGGAAACCCAAAAAAUUAGUUCGUUUGGAAUAGAGUUUGGCUUGAGCGGGAGAUGGGAGCUGGGUGUGCGAAUUAUGUGACUCUAAUUAUGCAUUAUUAGAAAAAUAGUAUCGGAGGCUUAAGUCUAAUUGAGGGGGUUAUGGUAUAAGGUGUUGGCUCAUAAAUAUGGGUGGGGGUCGGUGAGGGAGGAGAUUGGGUUAGGAAUAAAUCGAUUCUAGGCUUUGUGUAAUAUGGGAAGGGGGACCAAGGUAGUUUGGUUUCUUAAUAAUUUGGAGAGAAAUGUCAUGGAUGGGAGAACCGAUCUGAG
This 496-nucleotide long non-coding RNA is filed under the name Cicer arietinum (chickpea). RNAcentral describes it as "long non-coding RNA (CARI_LNC002548)". The record is from RNAcentral. Lineage: Eukaryota; Viridiplantae; Streptophyta; Magnoliopsida; Fabales; Fabaceae.